RNAcentral lists this ribosomal RNA (468 nucleotides) under uncultured bacterium. RNAcentral describes it as "partial 16S ribosomal RNA". It matches the Rfam family "Bacterial small subunit ribosomal RNA", at positions 28 to 507 of the family's 1533-position model. The record is from RNAcentral.
GACGAACGCUGGCGGCGUGCUUAACACAUGCAAGUCGAACGGAAAGGCCCUGCUUUUGUGGGGUGCUCGAGUGGCGAACGGGUGAGUAACACGUGAGUAACCUGCCCUUGACUUUGGGAUAACUUCAGGAAACUGGGGCUAAUACCGGAUAGGAGCUCCUGCUGCAUGGUGGGGGUUGGAAAGUUUCGGCGGUUGGGGAUGGACUCGCGGCUUAUCAGCUUGUUGGUGGGGUAGUGGCUUACCAAGGCUUUGACGGGUAGCCGGCCUGAGAGGGUGACCGGCCCCCUUGGGACUGGGAUUCCGCCCCGACCCCUCCGGGGGGCAGGCGGGGGGAAUUUUUGCCCAUGGGCCGAAGCCUUAUUCCGCAACGCCCGGUUCGGGAUGACCGCCCUCGGGGUGUAAACCGCUUUCGCCUGUGACGAAGCGUGAGUGACGGUAAUGGGUAAAGAAGCACCGGCUAACUACGUG